RNAcentral lists this ribosomal RNA (529 nucleotides) under uncultured bacterium. RNAcentral's name for it is "partial 16S ribosomal RNA". It matches the Rfam family "Bacterial small subunit ribosomal RNA", at positions 355 to 873 of the family's 1533-position model. The record is from RNAcentral.
UGGGGAAUAUUGCACAAUGGGCGCAAGCCUGAUGCAGCCAUGCCGCGUGUGUGAAGAAGGCCUUCGGGUUGUAAAGCACUUUCAGCGAGGAGGAAGGUGGUGAGCUUAAUACGCUCAUCAAUUGACGUUACUCGCAGAAGAAGCACCGGCUAACUCCGUGCCAGCAGCCGCGGUAAUACGGAGGGUGCAAGCGUUAAUCGGAAUUACUGGGCGUAAAGCGCACGCAGGCGGUUUGUUAAGUCAGAUGUGAAAUCCCCGGGCUCAACCUGGGAACUGCAUUUGAAACUGGCAAGCUAGAGUCUCGUAGAGGGGGGUAGAAUUCCAGGUGUAGCGGUGAAAUGCGUAGAGAUCUGGAGGAAUACCGGUGGCGAAGGCGGCCCCCCUGGACGAAGACUGACGCUCAGGUGCGAAAGCGUGGCAGGNAAAACAGGAUUAGAUACCCUGGUAGUCCACGCUGUAAAACGAUGUCGAUUUGGAGGUUGUGCCCUUGAGGCGUGGCUUCCGGAGCUAACGCGUUAAAUCGACCGCC